UUCAAACCCGCGCCACGAUGAGUGCCCUCGCGGAGGUUUUCGACCGGGUCAAACCGCUGGUGGAGUCGGUUCUGCGCGACCGCCGAGUCUCGGACAUCCGGCAGCUGAACGCGCAGCUGGAACGCAUCGACGCGGCGAGUUUGCAGAUCCUGCAGAACGUGCUGCUUCAGCAGCUGGUCGUGGCGGUGGACAACGUCGCCAGCGGGGAGAACGGAAACGAGGUCAAGACGGCGCUGAUGGAGUGCGUGGGGACGAUUCUGGACAAGGGGACAAUCCGGCAGGGGGUGGUGAUGAAGACGACGCUGGUGAUCUUGUUGAAGCAGCUGUACGACCUGCAGGGGAACCGGCUGGUGGUGGAUCUUUCCGAGGAGUACAAGCUGGCGGCGCUGCGGGGGUUGACUUUGGCGGCAAAGAAUGUCCAGUCGGAGUUGAUUGAGGAGGUUUAUACGCGGGAUCAGUUGAACCUGCUGUCGCAGGUUCUGUUCGUGGCCGUGAGCGUGCUUUCGGGUGGCGAUCGGUACCGGAAGUUGCGACUGCAGGCGAUUGAGUGCGUUUUGGCUGUGAUGCAGGUUCACGAUGGGAGUGAUUUUGGGGACGCGGUGCUGCGAUGCCAAGUGGCCGAGCUGAUGUUCAUCGUGCUGCCGAAGCUGCUGGUCGCGCUGGUUUCCGUGGUCAACGGGGACGAGAAGCAGGGAAAGGCACUGGUGAGGGCGGGGGUUAAAGGAUUGGGACGGGUACUUGGGUUGAUCUUUGAAGAUUACGACAAAACGUUGAUUGAUGAGGAAUUUUCGACGGAGGAGUUUGUAAAAUUGUCCAAGGAGUUGGGAACUUCCGGUGAAACCGGAAAGAACGUUCUCGGGAUGGGCUUGCGGGACUCCAAAGCACGCGAAGCGUACUUCAGCAACACUACCCGGAGCAGAGAGUGGCUGCUGGAGGCGGAGAAGAAGGUCCACGGAGUGUUGACCACAAUUUGUCACCUGCGAGGAGCGGAAGAUGAAUCGGUCCGGCUUGAAUACGCCCGCAUGAACGUGGAACUGCUCGAGAAAUGUACCCUGAACAUGCCGACCUGUUCCGUACUCUUCCUCGAGUCAAUUCUCGCCCUCUGCCAAGAUGAAUCCGAGAAAAUCCGGAGCAUUUGCGACGCCACCUUGAAGGCAACUUCCGGCCACCAUUCCAUCGCAUUCGGAACAACCCGGAAAGACGAACUGUUCUACGAAGCGCUCAAAACCAUUCCGCGAAGCAUCUACCGCGGUCAAGAAACGGACCAGAUCGCCCACUUCCGGUUGCUCAUCGGGUACGUCCACUUCCUGUCCGAUUCCCAACUCCAGGUGAUCCUCGCGAACCAGGAGAUCCUCAACCAGCUCGUCGCGAUUCUGGUGGCCGGCGCCGAGCUGGACCAACCGGAGGAACUCGUCCGUCGCGAGUACGUUUCGUACCGGUUCCGGUACGUUCCGGACGAGUGCCAGCUGGAGAAGGAAAAGCGCGAGUCGCGCUGGAUCGUUUUGCGUAACUUUCAUGGUUCGGAAAGAAGUCAGAAGGUGUUUCUGGAGGUUCUGCACGCUUUUCGGGAGCGACCGGAAGCGCUGGCGACGAUUUUGAACUACAUCCUGGAAGAUCUGUUCACCACCAAGCUGAACACCAACGGAUAUUUGUUCCUGCUUUCGGAGUUGGUACCGUCGAGUUCUUCAAGUCCCACGCUGACCGCAAUCUUCCGAAACGUCUUCACGGAAAUCCUCCAAAGCUACCACUGGGACCUUGACCUGGAAGAGACCACCGAAAUCGGCAACCUCAAGUUCAACGUCCUUCACAUCUGCCUCUCGCUUCGCCUGGUCGCCAAAUUCGCAAAACUCUUCAGCGGCGCCGAUUUCCACUUCCAACUCUACGACAUCCUUCGUCACGUGCUCCCCCUGUCCGGAUCCAACCUGAACUGCAUCAACGAAGCCGCGGAACUAACGCUGGAAGCCGUCGCCGAACCAGACUCAAUCCAACAACUAAUCUCCACCAACCUGGACUACAUCUCGCAGCACAUCAGUCAUUGUCUCCGACGACCGGAAAGCUUCCCCGGCGGAGUGCACCUGCUGGAGUCGGUUCUGCGCUUCGUCCCGUACGAAUCGUCCGCCGUGCUGGAGUCCACCAUCUCGCCCAUCGUGGUCAGCAUCCUGGACGGACACGAUCAGCGAAGGACGAAGGGAAUUAUGUGCCUCAGAGUGCUGCAGAUCUUCGUUCGCGCCAUUCGGUAUCGAUAUCAAAGUGAAACAGAUGAACAGGUUCCAGAUCCGGAGCUUACAUCCGCUCAAGCCAAGCUUCACGAACGAAUCGCCCAGCUGAAGGAGGAGUUGGCGAACAAACUCCCCCCCGCGGGAGCAACCAUCGAAAAAAUCCCCGACGACGAACCUCCACCAGAAGAACCAAUGGACGACCAAGAAGAAGGUCCCUACCAAUCCGAAGAGGACAAACUUCCCCCCCACAUCCGAAUCACCAUCAAAAUCCUCACCGUAAACUUCAAAUACCUUUCCUCCACCGCCCCCGAAGAGCGCAUCGUCGCCCUCGGAACGCUCACCGAAGGAAUCCACCUCCUGCAAACCCACGAAAACCAACUCCUCCCCCUGGUCCACCAAAUCUGGUACAACUUUGCCGAACGCUUCGCCGACCCCUCCCCGGUCGUAGUAAGUGCCGCCUUCGACCUCCUCGUAACCCUAGCCAACCUCGCCCGCGACUUUAUCCGCAAGCGAACCCUGGACGACAUCCUGCCCCGCCUCAGCGCUUUCAUGACGGACCACGUGGCGGCGGAUUUCGGCGCGCACCAGACGUACAAGCUGCAGCGGAAGGUACUCGAGCGGGGUGCGGAGUUGGUGCGCUCGUUGCGGUUGAACGAGCGCCAGCUGGAUCAGGUGCUGAACGUGGCGAGGUUGUACCGGGAACGGUCCGAGAGGAGGGAGCUGAGGGAGCUGGCGGGGAAGAUGUUUGAGGAUGUGGCGGCCCGGUACGAUCCGGGAGCGGUGUGGGUCAAGGUGAACGGAAGAGGUUCUAAACGAAACUUGCCGAGUUGGGUAAAUACGAUGGGUGCUGAAAAAAUCGUUAUUUUGCACAACAGCUUUUGUAAUUCCGAUCAACACAUACACCAAGAUGAUUGACCAGGGGUUAGGCAUACAACCCGGAGGGAGACGAGAGAGCGAGCAACCACAAAACGAGAGCACCGUCGUGUGUUCUGUGCAAUGCAUACGCUUGUGAUAGUCCAGCCAGCAGAUCCAGUCCCGUCGAGUAUAAGGUACAACAACAACAGCAACCUAGAAGCUAAACCAAGUGGGUGUGUGUGUGAGUGUGUCGGGUGUGAUUUGAUAUUGGAACCAAACUAUCAUCAGUAUUAAUAUUAAUGCAUGGCUCUGUAGAGUCUCGUCG
RNA transcript from Culex pipiens pallens (northern house mosquito), 3399 nucleotides. It is a transcript of the gene named TELO2-interacting protein 1 homolog, with no coding region annotated. The transcript is spliced from 5 exons. The record is from RefSeq and is a predicted model, not a curated record. NCBI's taxonomy places the organism in Eukaryota, Metazoa, Arthropoda, Insecta, Diptera, Culicidae.